Molecule: ribosomal RNA, 253 nt
Filed under: uncultured bacterium
Lineage: Bacteria
Description: partial 16S ribosomal RNA
Rfam family: Bacterial small subunit ribosomal RNA
Source: RNAcentral
UACGUAGGGCGCAAGCGUUGUCCGGAAUUAUUGGGCGUAAAGAGCUCGUAGGCGGCGCGGUAAGUCGGGUGUGAAAUCUUGGAGCUUAACUCCGAAACUGCAUUCGAUACUGCCGUGCUUGAGGACUGGAGAGGAGACUGGAAUUUACGGUGUAGCGGUGAAAUGCGUAGAUAUCGUAAGGAAGACCAGUGGCGAAGGCGGGUCUCUGGACAGUUCCUGACGCUGAGGCACGAAGGCCAGGGGAGCAAACGGG